CGCGCAGGGCCUUCUGGACCCGGAGGCCGGGGGAACCGAGAGAGGAAAUUCCUAGCAUUUUGGGGAUUUUGAGCCUGGAAUGUGGACCAAGACAAAAUUAUAGACGGAAGUUUGAUGGCUGGAGCAUCCUUCAUUUACUGAUACGGCAGGUGAUAUUCUUAGUUCACAUGUCUCAAGCCCGAUUGCUUCUCCACCCCGACGUCCACCCUCCUGCCCCUUCCGCUCCUGCAGUCCUGGCCAGCUGGCCCUGCCUCCAGGACCCAGGCUGAGAGAACAGCUCCAUCUGGGACAGGCCAUUCUCAUGAGAGGAAAAAAUCAAGAGCCCUGGUAGAAAUACACAGUGGCUCUUAACAUGACUGCUCAGAUGUGGUGAAAGGCAUAUCCCUUCUAUUGGUCAAAUCAAGUCACAUGAUCAAGCCUGACAUCUGAAAGGCUGGAAAAGACACUCUUCCUACAGGAUGCCUUGUAAGUCACAUGGCAACAGCUAUGAUGUACAGUCUUUACUGACCUGAAACAACUAGACUCCCAUGUAUUUCUCUGCCAAAGAUGGGUUUAUCUGGGAUCAGCAGAGUGUUGCAAUUUGCAUUUUUUUCUUUUUCGGCCACACCUGCCACAUGUGGAAGUUCCCAGGCCAGGGAUCAAACUGGCACCUUAGCAGCGACUCGAGCCACAGCAGUGACAAUGCCAGGUCCUUAACCCAUUGAACCACCAGGGAACUCCUGCAGUUUGUGGUUUUGCAACCAUGGUGAAUCGCCUGCAAUUGUGCACCUGUGCAAAGGAAGGAGACCACUUUUAUAGAGGGGGAAAGGAAGUUGGGAGGGCUUUAGUAAACAAAGUGUCUGAAGCUUUUCAUUGGCUGAGUUGUUACCAAGAAAGAUACUUCUGGUUGGGCUCUGCUUUGGUCACAAAGUGAGAGCUCAAAUAACAAGUGCUGGAGGGGCUGUGGAGAAAAGGGAACCCUCCU
This is a long non-coding RNA of Phacochoerus africanus (Common warthog), 964 nucleotides long. RefSeq lists it as uncharacterized. The transcript has 3 exons. NCBI's taxonomy places the organism in Eukaryota, Metazoa, Chordata, Mammalia, Artiodactyla, Suidae. The record is from RefSeq and is a predicted model, not a curated record.